GAUGAAGAACGCAGCGAAAUGCGAUAAGUAAUGCGAAUUGCAGAAUUCAGUGAGUCUUCGAAUCUUUGAACGCACAUUGCGCCCUGUGGUAUUCCGCAGGGCAUGCCUGUUCGAGCGUCAUUUCAACCCUCAAGCCUCGCUUGGUGUUGGGCCCUGCCCGCCGCGGCCGGCCCUAAAGAUAGUGGCGGCGCCGCCUGGCCCUCAGCGUAGUACAGCUCUCGCUCCAGGGUCCGGCGGCAGCCUGCCAGAACCCCCCAACUCUGUGGUUGACCUCGGAUCAGGUAGGGAUACCCGCUGAACUUAAGCAUAUCAAUAAGCGGAGGA
RNAcentral lists this unclassified non-coding RNA (324 nucleotides) under soil metagenome. RNAcentral's name for it is "partial contains 5.8S ribosomal RNA, internal transcribed spacer 2, and large subunit ribosomal RNA". The stretch from base 1 to 120 matches the Rfam family "5.8S ribosomal RNA", at positions 35 to 154 of the family's 154-position model. The record is from RNAcentral.